Molecule: transfer RNA, 73 nt
Filed under: Perkinsus olseni
Lineage: Eukaryota; Perkinsozoa; Perkinsida; Perkinsidae
Rfam family: tRNA
About the family: Transfer RNA (tRNA) molecules are approximately 80 nucleotides in length. Their secondary structure includes four short double-helical elements and three loops (D, anti-codon, and T loops).
Source: Rfam by way of RNAcentral
GCCGGGAUAGUCUAGUGGUUAUGACGUCUGCCUCACACGCAAAUGGUAGCGAGUUCAAUCCUCGUUCCUGGUA